GAAAAUAGAGUAUUAUUAUAAUACUUUUAUGGCAACAGAAUUGGUAGAGAAAAUGAGUAGUGCGUGCAUCAUCUAUUUACGAUAGCAUGGGAGUCAGCUCAUUACAUUUCGUCGAUCCAUCGAUUUAGUUUGAUCAAUCAAGUUGUUUACCAAUUUCACUAUACUUCAACUUUUUCUUCACAAUUGACUUGACAACUCAAUCUCCUUUGUGCUUCAAAUUGUUGUUUCUUGGAAGGAGAUCAGCUCACAAAAGUAGUAGUUUAAAACUGGUUGUUUAACUGGUAAAAGAAUUGAUAGAAAAAAAUUGAGUAAAUGAGUGCAUGGCCCAUUUUAGUUUGGUCGGGCAAGCUGUUUACCAAUUUGAUAAUUUUUGUCAUGGCAGAGGGAGGACAACUUUUUUUUCUAGGAUAAUUUUUGUUUGCUCCCACGAUAACCACCAUGAGACAGCAACCUGCAUCUCCUAGACAGAAUAGCUUCUCAGUUGAUGGUGUCCGUUUUUUCAGCUAACGCAGACUCAUUUAUUGAACGUGGAUGCCGUUAUUUUUUACCACGGACUGUCCGUACCCUUACAUCAGAGAAAUUAUGCUGGUAACCUUGUUCCUGGUGAAGAGGCGCUCGUCGAUCGCUUCGUUCAUCCGGGGACGAAUUGGCCGUCGUGCAGGGGCUCACGCCGCGGGCCUGCGGACGCUCCUGCCCUCGUGGCCAUAUCUCAGGGCCCGAUACACGGAGAAGUGGCAACAGCGCCGCUGGUUAGAUGGAUGUAGAGGCGCGGCCACAUCUCGUGCUCGCCGUCGACAGACGCCGGGCUAACCGGAGCACGCAGGGGAUGCGAACGCCUGCGGGAAGAACCGACGGGACGAACGGCGAGCUCUCACGAAGGGUCGUGAACCUUAGCGCGCGGGAGCCCCCGAGACCGACGGCCCGAUGGAGAUUUUGCUCGGGAUCAAACGGUGCGAAAGCCAGGGGCGACGUGGCUUUAUGAUGGCUCGAGGAGAGCUCGAUUCCUGACCGAGAUUCGUAGAUUAGAGAUUCCGUGGGUCGGUGCUUCAGAAGAUGAGAAGAAACAAGAGCAGGCAGGCCAAGCAAUAAGCCGAUAAGAUGCCGUAGAAGUAAAUAACUGGAGAAGACACAAGUGAGUUUUUCUUCUUCUUCUUGUUCAAAACGGACACAAACGAAUGGAUAUGCGUGCAUGGUGCAUCUUUUAUGUUGACAAGGACAGGAACGUAGACUCAGAUUUUUAUACACACCACAAGAUUACAAGGACAAGAGGCGGCAACACGGUAAGGUCCAUGCUCCAUUGACACCCCAUCACAAUCCGAGGCCUCUCUGUAUAAAAGCCGAAACCAAAUGAUCUGCAGCUCUGAACCAUAUAUACUGACAUGAUGACCCGACCGUUUUCUCUGUUUAAAUCUCAGGAAAAAAAACUGAAAUUACAUUCUCUAUACUGUUGCUGUUGAGUGAAGGAAAGCCUGUGAUACUGUUGCUGGAGAGUGAAGUCAGAAAGCCGGUGAAAUAAUAUCUUCUUCUUUUCCUCUGAAAUUCUGUUCCAACCACUCAUCGCCAGCCCUUUAUGCCAGUCGUGCAAACAACUUGCACUUUGUCAGUGCCCAGGUAGUAAAAAAUUGCUUGUAUUCAUAUUCAUAUUUACAUUCCCCAAAGCCUUGCGCCCACUCCCACUGCACCAUCCAUCAGGUUGUUGCUGAAACCGAAUGCCCGGCCAAUAUGCUCCAAAACUGCAGAAAACAGUAUUGGUUCUGCAUGUUAGAAAGUUAUUGAUAAUAUUCUUGUACAAAUUAGUAUUACCAGAUUUACCAAAUAAAAAUGUACCCGGAACAAGAGCUGCAGAACGUAAAUUUGAGGUACUAAUCUUGACUGGUUAAAGAGCACUACAAACUACUGACGGAGUGACGGUGCAACAUUUCAAAUAUGAACCUUGAUUAGAGCUUGUGAAGUUGUGAAUCAACAGCUUAAAGUCCAGCACAGAUAUGCAGAACCAUCAUCCAUAUGGAUGGAGCUAAAGAAAGUAAAUGCCCUAAAUGCAGAAUGAAAUACAACACUAAUUUUCCAGAUUUCGAUAAAAAGAGGUUUGAUCAAGACAAAAGGCAGUUAUUAUUUGAAUUCAAAAGGCAUAAGGAAGUGUAAAAUCUUUGUGCCAGGUUCAGCAUGACUACACAAGAGCUGCCUCUCCAAUCAAACCAAUCUCAUAAAACUAAAUUAAAUUUUCUCAAAUUACAUGCUAAAUGGAUGCUAUAACCUGUGAUGUUUAGCAACAAAACAAUGGAUAUUCAGCUGUACAGUGGCAGAGCUUAAUGGAGAUCAAAGAGGGCUAUGGUCACCCCUAAACUAGAUAAAUUCUUAAUGAAGCACUGAAUUUCACUGCUUAAAUGGAAAGAGAAACACUAACCUGACCCCCUCUCUUUCCAUUUCAGUGAUAUUGGGCCCCUCUUCUUUUGUAUCCAAGCUCCGCCACUGCAGCUGUAGAACUCUGAGCCAAAUAGAUGGACCCACAGGAAAGGAAAAUAGCAGUGUAAAGCAAGAAAUAUUUAAUGAAUAAGGCAGUUAGUAUGAUGCUGCAAGCAACAAAAAAAGAUAAAAAUCAAGAGUCAAAGUCCACCAAGUUUCCAGAUUGCACUCCUCUAUAGCUAGGCAUCAGAUAAUGGCUCCUUCACAUUGCCCAACCAGAAAAUACAAGCAUAUGAUGCCUUGCUGCUUAGAAUAGAACGACAUGCUAAAAUCAUCAUUACUUGGCGAUUUGCAGACGAGAACAGCUCUCCAGCUCUCACUGAUCAGAUGUAUAGCACCACUAACUCCUUUAAUAUUAUGAAACAAACACGUGCAAGUCUGAAAGAUAGAAUGCAAAUGCACUUUAGCCAUGCAUCGGUCAUUUUUUAUGUUCAUACUUUAUUUACUUCUGACUUCACCAUUUAUUGAAUUUGAGAGCAAUAACAACAAAUCAUUUUUACCUUUCUAGUGCCAAGCAAGUUGCGGUAGGCUAGAGCUGAAACCCAACAUGAGCCACCAACAAGAACGGAACAUAAAUUUAUCGAAUAUAAUCCAAAUAACAAUUAUCUCACAACGGGCAGAACUUAGAAAGACACUGCAAUGUUCGAUAUUAUCAUCAAUACUGAAUCUUUUCUGGAAGUCAUGCAAUCUGAAGCAGUUCAAUUUUAGCAAAAGCAAGAUGUUGUGAGAGCAUGUACAUUGUAUUCUGAUACGUAGAAACCGGGAACAUAUAAGUAAUAUCACUCACCUGCACAAAUCUAGCAGGAUUCGCACCCAUGUGAAAAUGAUUUCCAUGAAUUCACUGUGCAUCAGCCAAUCAAGUAUCAACAUUUUUUCACAAGAACGGUAUGCACCGUCUCUGUGUAAACAGUUCAGUAGACAGAUCAUCACAAUUGUGUAUCUACAUCUAAGAUUUCAACCAUUUGAAAAUCAGUUCUGAAGUCGCUUUCGUGUACUCCCUUUUCUACUCUUACAAUUGUCCAAGUAGUGUAGAGCCUUCUUUGGCAGUUUAGCAGUUGACUGAAGUUGAAUGAGAGAACUGUAUGUCACGUAAUCAAGCAAAAUGCCAUACCCCAUGCCAUCAGCUCUCUCACAGAAAAAAAAAGCCUUCUCUGAGCAUCUUCUUCUUUAGGCAGCAUAUAAAAAAGCCUUCUCUGUAAGAACUAUGCAUCCUUUCUUCCCGAAUGCAUCAAUAGUAGAAAAGCAUUUGGAACUCAUCUGCUGAUGGAAGCUGUCAAACCAAUGCCAUGCUUGCUCAAGCAUCCCAGCAUUUACAUACAUCCUUGUCAAAGCGGAUUGUGUGUAUUCAUCUAUCACAAAGCCCCUCUCAUCCAUUUCCUAUAGAAGGGCUUCCGCUUUAGUGACCAUGCCCCUGAAUCCCUGAUAGAGUAUCCAUAUAAGAGUGUUUGUGGCAGCUCACAACAUCUGGUAUCAAAUUUUCUGGCUUCAUCUUCCAGAAGUAGUACUCUGCAACAUCAGUUUCGUUCCUUUCUCUAUACAGUGUAUCAGUAUAUUGUACAUCCUAGUGUCAGGAAAGCACUGGGAUUCCUCCGUCAUCCUCACCAAAGAAGCAACUUGCUCCAUUCUAUGGUGUUUACCCCAAACAUGAAUCACUGUGUUGAAUGUAACAACACGCAACACCUUCUAUCAACAUUGGGUUGAAUGUAUCUGAUACUUUCUCAAGUUGACCAGCUUUUCCAUGAGUAUCAACUAUCAAUCUAGGUGCUUUAAGUGCACAAACUGUAGCAAGGGCGUCCCUCCAUCCUUCUACUUGAAUCCGAGGACCUGCAGCACAAUACUCACAGUGACCUCAUGAGGCAUCAAACCCCGCUUGCGCAUGUCCCUGAGCCACAAAUAAAGUCGCCCGUUCUCUUUCCCCUUUGCAACACACAUCGAUCAGUAUUCCAUACCUUGAGUUAUCUCAUUAUCUGGCACCACACUGCAAGAAUGCAUCUCAUGCCACAGCCUAAGAACAAGGUCCCAUUUCCUUGCCCAGCCGACUCUACAGAGCACAACAUUGUAGUGAAUCACAUUGAGUUCAUUGCCUCUCUUCAUGUGAAACCAGUCAAAGAUCUCGACUGCCUGUCUCCAAUCUUUCUGCUCCUUGAGGAUGAUCGGACUCACCCGGUUGCUCAGUGUAUCCUUCCACAGCCAGAGUGCUUCCCCAACAUCGUGGGCAUGCUCCAGUGCCUCCGGCAUUGUCAGAAGCGACCCACCGUAAUGGACCCGGUUGCCUUUGCUAUUCCCUUUAGUAGUCUGUCUAGCCGUGCAUGGAACAGCCAAUUCCAGGGAAAUUUCAGAGGUUCUAGCUGGUGCAGAGACUGGCGUUCGCCGAAGCUGUAACUGUAAGGUUCUGUAAUGGAGUCAGCGGCCGCGCAGGAUUUUGGAGGAAGCAAUCGCACGGGAUCAUCGCCCUGCCGUUAUCUACCCUGGAAACGAGUGCAAUGACGGUGUUGUUAAUCAUUUUGGAACAAUGGGAACCGAUUUCACCUUUCAACGCCGAACUGAAAAACUAUGGGCCCGAACAUGAAACCUAAACUUUCGGUUCGAAACAUUCGAUUCACAUUCUAAGCUUUGAACUCACACUCACCAGUCGGCGCAGGUUCACGUUCACGGCCGAGACGGCGGGCGGGCGGUGAGAAGUUCGGACCGCGGGGUCGGUGGCCUCUUGCCCCUC
Molecule: long non-coding RNA, 5179 nt
Filed under: Setaria italica (foxtail millet)
Lineage: Eukaryota; Viridiplantae; Streptophyta; Magnoliopsida; Poales; Poaceae
Description: long non-coding RNA (SITA_LNC007381)
Source: RNAcentral